This 253-nucleotide ribosomal RNA is filed under the name uncultured bacterium. Its description in RNAcentral is "partial 16S ribosomal RNA". It matches the Rfam family "Bacterial small subunit ribosomal RNA", at positions 524 to 776 of the family's 1533-position model. The record is from RNAcentral.
UACGUAGGGGUUGAGCGUUGUCCGGAGUUACUGGGCGUAAAGCGUGCGCAGGCGGCUCAUCGCGCUCGGCGUGAAAGCCCUCGGCUCAACCGGGGAGGGUCGUCGAGGACGGGUGAGCUUGAGGGUAUCAGGGGUUGGUGGAAUUCCCGGUGUAGUGGUGAAAUGCGCAGAUAUCAGGAAGAACACCAGUGGCGAAGGCGGCUCACUGGUCCGGUACUGACGCUGAGGUGCGAAAGCGUGGGGAGCAAACAGG